Molecule: transfer RNA, 108 nt
Filed under: Streptomyces sp. ISL-111
Lineage: Bacteria; Bacillati; Actinomycetota; Actinomycetes; Kitasatosporales; Streptomycetaceae
Description: tRNA-Ser
Source: RNAcentral
GCGGUGCUUUGCGCAGCUCAGGCGUCACGCAGGCGUGAUUUGGUCGGCGGUCUUGAAAACCGUCGUGGCAGCGAUGUCACCGUGGGUUCAAAUCCCACACCCACCGCA